This 303-nucleotide ribosomal RNA is filed under the name uncultured bacterium. RNAcentral describes it as "partial 16S ribosomal RNA". It matches the Rfam family "Bacterial small subunit ribosomal RNA", at positions 507 to 807 of the family's 1533-position model. The record is from RNAcentral.
AGCAGUAGCCGCGGUAAUACGAAGGGUGCAAGCGUUAAUCGGAAUUACUGGGCGUAAAGCGUGCGUAGGCGGUUUGUUAAGUCUGUUGUGAAAUCCCCGGGCUCAACCUGGGAAUGGCAAUGGAUACUGGCAAGCUAGAGUGUGUCAGAGGAUGGUGGAAUUCCCGGUGUAGCGGUGAAAUGCGUAGAGAUCAGGAGGAACAUCAGUGGCGAAGGCGGCCAUCUGGGACAACACUGACGCUGAGGCACGAAAGCGUGGGGAGCAAACAGGAUUAGAUACCCCUGUAGUCCCUGUCUCUUAUAC